Molecule: ribosomal RNA, 796 nt
Filed under: uncultured bacterium
Lineage: Bacteria
Description: bacterial SSU rRNA
Rfam family: Bacterial small subunit ribosomal RNA
Source: RNAcentral
AGAGUUUGAUCAUGGCUCAGAACGAACGCUGGCGGCGCGCCUAAUACAUGCAAGUCGAGCGAGAAGGUGUAGCAAUACACUUGUAAAGCGGCGAACGGGUGAGGAAUGCAUGGGUAACCUACCCUCGAGUGGGGAAUAACUAGCCGAAAGGUUAGCUAAUACCGCAUACGUUUCCGGGACUUCGGUUCCGGAAAGAAAGCAAUACCGUGGGUAUUGCGCUCAUGGAUGGGCUCAUGUCCUAUCAGCUUGUUGGUGAGGUAACGGCUCACCAAGGCUUCGACGGGUAGCUGGUCUGAGAGGACGAUCAGCCACACUGGCACUGCGACACGGGCCAGACUCCUACGGGAGGCAGCAGUAAGGAAUAUUGCGCAAUGGACGAAAGUCUGACGCAGCGACGCCGCGUGGGGGAUGAAGGUCUUCGGAUUGUAAACCCCUUUCGGGAGGGAAGAUGGAGUGGGUAACCACUUGGACGGUACCUCCAGAAGCAGCCACGGCUAACUUCGUGCCAGCAGCCGCGGUAAUACAGAGGGUGCGAGCGUUGUCCGGAAUCACUGGGCGUAAAGGGCGCGUAGGCGGCUGGGUAAGCGUGUGGUGAAAGCCCGGGGCUCAACCCCGGGUCGGCCAUGCGAACUGCCCGGCUGGAGCACGGUAGAGGCACAUGGAAUUCCGGGUGUAGCGGUGGAAUGCGUAGAGAUCCGGAAGAACACCGGUGGCGAAGGCGGUGUGCUGGGCCGUGGCUGACGCUGAGGCGCGACAGCGUGGGGAGCAAACAGGAUUAGAUACCCCGGUAGUCCAA